This is a microRNA precursor of Cricetulus griseus (Chinese hamster), 57 nucleotides long. NCBI's taxonomy places the organism in Eukaryota, Metazoa, Chordata, Mammalia, Rodentia, Cricetidae. The record is from Ensembl.
UGUGGGUGUGGCAGUGCUGGAGCUACUCAACUUCCCACCACCUUCCUCACCCACGCU